This 402-nucleotide unclassified non-coding RNA is filed under the name soil metagenome. RNAcentral's name for it is "partial contains 5.8S ribosomal RNA, internal transcribed spacer 2, and large subunit ribosomal RNA". The stretch from base 1 to 120 matches the Rfam family "5.8S ribosomal RNA", at positions 35 to 154 of the family's 154-position model. The record is from RNAcentral.
GAUGAAGAACGUAGCGAAAUGCGAUAAGUAAUGUGAAUUGCAGAAUUCAGUGAAUCAUCGAAUCUUUGAACGCACCUUGCGCCCUUUGGACUUCUGAAGGGCAUGCCUGUUUGAGUAUCAUGAACACCUCAACUCCUUAUGGUCUUCCAUGAUGAGCUUGGACUUUGGGGGUUUUGCUGGCCUACAGUCAGCUCCUCUAAAAUAAAUCAGCUUACCGGUGUUUGGUGGGUAUCAUGGGUGUGAUAACUAUCUACGCUCGUGGUUUUCCACCAGGUAACCUCAGCAGUGGAGGUUCACUGGAGCUCAUAGAUGUCUCUCCUCAGCGAGGACAGCCCUUUGAAUGUUUGAUCUCAAAUCAGGUAGGACUACCCGCUGAACUUAAGCAUAUCAAUAAGCGGAGGA